This 221-nucleotide ribosomal RNA is filed under the name uncultured bacterium. RNAcentral describes it as "partial 16S ribosomal RNA". The stretch from base 1 to 196 matches the Rfam family "Bacterial small subunit ribosomal RNA", at positions 328 to 538 of the family's 1533-position model. The record is from RNAcentral.
ACGCUCGACACCUACGGGNGGCAGCAGUGGGGAAUAUUGCACAAUGGGGGAAACCCUGAUGCAGCGACGCCGCGUGAGCGAAGAAGUAUUUCGGUAUGUAAAGCUCUAUCAGCAGGGAANAACUAGUGGACCGUCUGAACUAAGACNCCGCCGAUAACUGCGCCAGCCAGGACUCGGUAGUACGUCGGACGGUCGGGGCCGGUAAGGGACCGAACGGACGG